This 406-nucleotide ribosomal RNA is filed under the name uncultured bacterium. Its description in RNAcentral is "partial 16S ribosomal RNA". It matches the Rfam family "Bacterial small subunit ribosomal RNA", at positions 29 to 526 of the family's 1533-position model. The record is from RNAcentral.
AUUGCACGCUGGCGGCAGGCCUAACACAUGCAAGUCGAACGAGUGGCGGACGGGUGAGUAAUGUCUGGGAAACUGCCUGAUGGAGGGGGAUAACUACUGGAAACGGUAGCUAAUACCGCAUACCAUCGGAUGUGCCCAGAUGGGAUUAGCUAGUCGGUGGGGUAAAGGAUCACCUAGGCGACGAUCCCUAGCUGGUCUGAGAGGAUGACAAGCCACACGGGAACGGAGACACGGUCCAGAGUCCGACGGGAGGCAGCAGUGGGGAAUAUUGCACAAUGGGCGCAAGCCUGAUGCAGCCAUGCCGCGUGGAUGAAGAAGGCCUUCGGUUUGUAAAGUACUUGCAGCGGGGAGGCGUUACCCGAAGAAGAAGCACCGGCUAACGCCGGGCCAGCCGCCGCGGUAAUUC